Molecule: long non-coding RNA, 447 nt
Filed under: Malus domestica (apple)
Lineage: Eukaryota; Viridiplantae; Streptophyta; Magnoliopsida; Rosales; Rosaceae
Description: long non-coding RNA (MDOM_LNC012920)
Source: RNAcentral
CAUGGGUUUUAUGAAUUGUUUUUGAAUGCAUGCCUACUUUAAUGUGUUAAUAGUUUGCAUAUGUAUUCAAAUAUUCUCACAUGUUCUUAGCUAGGACAAAAUUUUUCCUUCAUGAUAUACACAGGGAUUGAGGUUAAUGAAUAAAAUGCGUGGAAAGAGCAACUGCAAAAAAUGGGGGCGUUUGUCAUCAUGUAGUGGAUCUUUUUUUUGCAAUUCCAAAGAUUAUGCAAUGGAAAUUGAAGCAACUCGACUACCCAGCUUUAAUGUUGAUCUCGACCUGACUAUAAAGAUUUUGAAGACCAAACGUAAGCAUUCCAGCUUACUUUGAAAGGCAUAGUCUUUGGUAACAAUCCAUCCUUAAAGGGACCAAGUUGCCUCUCAAAUGGAUAGUUAGGGGCAAUUAUGGGACCAUGAUUUUCCAGAGCUGGAGUAAGGCUAAUCCGUAUA